RNAcentral lists this ribosomal RNA (494 nucleotides) under uncultured bacterium. RNAcentral describes it as "partial 16S ribosomal RNA". It matches the Rfam family "Bacterial small subunit ribosomal RNA", at positions 28 to 507 of the family's 1533-position model. The record is from RNAcentral.
GACGAACGCUGGCGGCGUGCUUAACACAUGCAAGUCGAACGGUGAAGCGCCUUCCUUUUUGGUGGGUGUGGAUGAGUGGCGAACGGGUGAGUAACACGUGAGUAACCUGCCCCCUUCUUCUGGAUAACCGCAUGAAAGUGUGGCUAAUACGGGAUAUUCUGGGUCUGUCGCAUGAUGGGUCUGGGAAAGAUAUUGUUUCGGUGGGGGAUGGGCUCGCGGCCUAUCAGCUUGUUGGUGGGGUGAUGGCCUACCAAGGCGGUGACGGGUAGCCGGCCUGAGAGGGUGGACGGUCACACUGGGACUGAGAGACGGCCCAGACUCCUACGGGAGGCAGCAGUGGGGAAUAUGGCACAAUGGGCGGAAGCCUGAUGCAGCGACGCCGCGUGAGGGAUGGAGGCCUGCGGGUUGUGAACCUCUUUCGCCAGUGAAGCAGGCCUGCCUCGUUUGUGGGUGGGUUGACGGUAGCUGGAUAAGAAGCGCCGGCUAACUACGUG